This 2547-nucleotide long non-coding RNA is filed under the name Mustela putorius furo (domestic ferret). RNAcentral describes it as "lncRNA (ENSMPUG00000030917.1)". Lineage: Eukaryota; Metazoa; Chordata; Mammalia; Carnivora; Mustelidae. The record is from RNAcentral.
AUGCUUUAUACAUUUCAACUUAUGCUGAAGAUGGUUCCUGUAAGAGACUUGGAUCACUUUGCUGCUGAGAGGGGAGGCUGCUCUGCUCUACACAUCCUAUCAGUCAGAGAACUUGGAACAGGAAAAACAAUUUGGAUCCAAGUUUACCUCUUCCACCAAGCUUUGAAAUAUUCAAGGGCUCCCUGCCCAGGGAAAAGGGACAGAGAGAGAGAGAGAAGGUUGCCCUGUCUGCAUGCCAUGAUGCCCCUCACUCUGUGGCCAAGCAGAGGAAGGAAGAGACGUCUAGCAAGAAGUUGCUGCAGUCAAGGUCAAAGAGGUUGCUGCUUGUGUUGUUCUUAAGGAUUUUGAUGGUCUCCUGUCUCAAAUUGAGGUCUUUCAUCGACUUUGAAUUUAUUUUUUUGUCUGGUGUGAGAAGGUGGUCCAGUUGCAUUCUUCUGCAUGUUGCCAUCCAAUUUUCCCAACACCAUUUGUUGAAGAGAAUUUUUCCAUUGGACAUUCUUUCCUUUGUUGAAGAUGAGUUGACCAUAUAGUUGUGGGUCCAUUUCUGGAUUCUCUAUUCUGCUCCAAUGAUCUAUGUGUCUGUUUUUGUGCCAGAACCAUACUGUUUUGAUGAUUACAGCUUUGUAAUAGAGCUUGAAGUCUGGGAUUGUGAUGCCACCAGCUUUGCUUUUCUUUUUCAGCAUUCCUCUGGCUAUUUGGAGCCUUCCAUGGUUCCACACUAAUUUUAGGUUUUGUUGUUCUAGUUCUGUGAAAAAUGUUGAUGCUAUUUUGAUCAGGUUUGUUUUAAUUCUAGACCUGAGCUCCCAAGUAAUAUAUCGUAAAAAUAUGUCUUAUUCCCCAGAAAAUACCUUGAAAAUCAUAAAAUAAAAAUAGGGAUUAUGGCUUCUGCUUCUAUCUCCUCCAUAUGGCUAAAAUCAAACACAAAAUGCCAAGAUGUACUAAAUUAUAUAACACAUAUUAAGUUAAAAUUUUAAAGUCCUGGGGGGCCUGGCUGGCUUGGUCAGUAGUAUGCGCCACUCUUGAUCUUGGGGUUGGAAGUUUGUGCCCCAUGUUGGGUAUAGAGACUACCUAAAAAUAAAAUCUUUAAAAAAUAAAUAAAAUAAAAAUUUAAAGUAUCUACAAAAUUAAACUGGAUAAUGCAUUAAUCACUUUCAAGCAAUUCAAUGAUAAAGACACUAAUAACUCCUUCAAAAUGAAAUGUCUUCUGUAUCUUUGAAGUUUUGCUACUCUUGUUAAAAUAUCCCAAGCAAAGAUUCUCUAGAUUUUAGAAAGAGAUCAUAUAUUAAAUGGCUUAAAAUCAUUUUGCUCCAUCCAUCCAUGGUUAACAGUAUGAGAUAAAAAAUUAAAAACCUAUCAAAGAUACAUUUUGAUUAAUGAACCAAGAGCAAGCUUCUCGAGAACUAUCAUUCAUGGUAUAACCGCCACCACCACAUCCAUUGUUUUGUUCAGCUAAUAGUACAGAGUGCGCCUCAACUGAUGAAUGAGGUUUUAUUUUUUAAUCAGUAUCAUCAUUAAUAGAUCAAUAACACACAAGCUUAGAAGAAUCUGCUUCCCAGAGAAAUGUGAAAGCUUCCAGUGGUUUGAGGAUUAGAUUUCAAUCACUUUCUCUGGAAGGCUAUUUAAUUAUUAAAAACAACAAUUUCUUCCCUCACUCCCCUCCCCAUCCCACAAUAUAAGUCAUAUGGAGGCACAAAAUGACCCAUGACCCAGGAUUAUCUUGUUCUUGCUACAAACACCUACUUUGACUACUCCGAUCAUUUCACUUGAGAAUAAAGAAGUGAAUUAUUUUUCACACUCCAGUGUAUUUGUGUGUGUGUGUUUCUUUUUUUAAUUAUUUUUUUUAUAAACAUAUAAUGUAUUUUUAUCCCCAGGGGUACAGGUCUGUGAAUUGCCAGGUUUACACACUUCACAGCACUCACCAUAGCACAUACCCUCCCCAAUGUCCAUAACCCCACCCCCCCUCUCCCAAACCCCCUCCCCCCAGCAACCCUCAGUUUGUUUUGUGAGAUUAAGAGUCACUUAUGGUUUGUAUCCCUCCCAAUCCCAUCUUGUUUCAUUUAUUCUUCUCCUACCCCCUUAAACACCCAUGUUACAUCUCCCCAGUGUAUUUUACCACCACAGACUAAAAGGGAAAACCAAAAUACCAUGUUGUGGCAAUCUGAGAUAAAAAAACAAAACAAAAAAAAACCCCAACUAGAUGAAAUAUUUAAUAUGUGCCCAGCUCCAUCUGGACAGAGGCAGUGGGAAUAGGGUCCCUAAAGAAUGACUGAUAAGGACUCUGACAUUACUUUUCAGCCUUUUUUUCUUCCUUAAGAAUGCAUUGCUUUUCUAAAAAAACAUAACAAUUCACAAUCAGCUUCUCUUUCGAAAGGGUGUUUGUGCUCCUACUCAAAGACAGACAAUGGAUUCAAAGAGGAUAAGCCAUUUAGUUCCUUUGUGGGAAACCGCACACCCAGGUCUAGAAACAACCUAACAUGGAACUCAGCUUCUGGUGUCAGAUUGUCUGUGUUUGGCGAAAACUGCACUGAUAUGUACACCCCCUUUAAC